CGGAGGUCCUCCCUACUUCCGGGUCCUCUCUGUCUUCGCUUUGGGCCUUCUCAGCCUUAGAGCAUGAGAAAGGAAGAAGCCGGAGAACCUUGGAACCGCAGAACCAAAAAUUAUCACGGCGGUUCAACCCCCGGUGUUACAGAUGAGAAAACCAAGGCCUUCAGAAUGCUGUUUGAAAUGUGCCCUCUGGCGGGACGAGGUGGCUCAGGCCUGUAAUCCCUGCACUUUGGAGGCCAAAGUGGA
Saimiri boliviensis boliviensis (Bolivian squirrel monkey) is the source of this 243-nucleotide non-coding RNA. Lineage: Eukaryota; Metazoa; Chordata; Mammalia; Primates; Cebidae. The record is from RefSeq and is a predicted model, not a curated record.